CCUACGGGUGGCAGCAGUGGGGAAUAUUGCGCAAUGGGCGAAAGCCUGACGCAGCGACGCCGCGUGAGGGAUGAAGGUCUUCGGAUCGUAAACCGCUGUCAGCAGGGAAGAACGGUCACUGUGCUAAUCAGCAGUGAAUUGACGGUACCUUCAAAGGAAGCACCGGCUAACUCCGUGCCAGCAGCCGCGGUAAUACGGAGGGUGCGAGCGUUAAUCGGAAUUACUGGGCGUAAAGCGCUCGUAGGCGGUAUUGCAAGUCAAGGGUGAAAUCCCCGCGCUCAACGUGGGAACUGCCUUGGAAACUGGCAAACUGGAGUGUGUGAGAGGAUAGUGGAAUUCCAGGUGUAGGAGUGAAAUGCGUAGAUAUAUGGAGGAACAUCAGGGGCGAAGGCGACUAUCUGGCACAUAACUGACGCUGAGGAGCGAAAGCGUGGGUAGCAAACAGGAUUAGAUACCCGGGUAGUC
This 465-nucleotide ribosomal RNA is filed under the name uncultured bacterium. RNAcentral's name for it is "partial 16S ribosomal RNA". It matches the Rfam family "Bacterial small subunit ribosomal RNA", at positions 338 to 795 of the family's 1533-position model. The record is from RNAcentral.